GAUGAACGCUGGCGGCGUGCCUAAUACAUGCAAGUCGAGCGAACGGACGAGAAGCUUGCUUCUCUGAUGUUAGCGGCGGACGGGUGAGUAACACGUGGAUAACCUACCUAUAAGACUGGGAUAACUUCGGGAAACCGGAGCUAAUACCGGAUAAUAUUUUGAACCGCAUGGUUCAAAAGUAAAAGACGGUCUUGCUGUCACUUAUAGAUGGAUCCGCGCUGCAUUAGCUAGUUGGUAAGGUAACGGCUUACCAAGGCAACGAUGCAUAGCCGACCUGAGAGGGUGAUCGGCCACACUGGAACUGAGACACGGUCCAGACUCCUACGGGAGGCAGCAGUAGGGAAUCUGCCGCAAUGGGCGAAAGCCUGACGGAGCAACGCCGCGUGAGUGAUGAAGGUCUUCGGAGCGUAAAACUCUGUUAUUAGGGAAGAACAGAUGUGUAAGUAACUGUGCACAGCGUGACGGUACCUAAUCAGAAAGCCACGGCUAACUACGUG
RNAcentral lists this ribosomal RNA (497 nucleotides) under uncultured bacterium. Its description in RNAcentral is "partial 16S ribosomal RNA". It matches the Rfam family "Bacterial small subunit ribosomal RNA", at positions 28 to 507 of the family's 1533-position model. The record is from RNAcentral.